CCUACGGGAGGCAGCAGUGAGGAAUAUUGGUCAAUGGGCGAGAGCCUGAACCAGCCAAGUCGCGUGAGGGAGUACUGCCCUAUGGGUUGUAAACCUCUUUUGUCGGGGAGCAAAAGCCGGACGUGUCCGGCUGUGAGAGUACCCGAAGAAAAAGCAUCGGCUAACUCCGUGCCAGCAGCCGCGGUAAUACGGAGGAUGCGAGCGUUAUCCGGAUUUAUUGGGGUUAAAGGGUGCGCAGGCGGAUUUUUAAGUCAGCGGUCAAAUCGUGGGGCUCAACCCCAUCCAACCGUUGAAACUGGGGAUCUAGAGUGUGCGAGAGGUAUGCGGAAUGCGUGGUGUAGCGGUGAAAUGCAUAGAUAUCACGCAGAACCCCGAUUGCGAAGGCAGCAUACCGGUGCACAACUGACGCUCAGGCACGAAAGCGUGGGUAUCGAACAGGAUUAGAUACCCCUGUAGUC
This 458-nucleotide ribosomal RNA is filed under the name uncultured bacterium. RNAcentral's name for it is "partial 16S ribosomal RNA". It matches the Rfam family "Bacterial small subunit ribosomal RNA", at positions 338 to 795 of the family's 1533-position model. The record is from RNAcentral.